Molecule: small nucleolar RNA, 141 nt
Organism: Nannospalax galili (Upper Galilee mountains blind mole rat)
Lineage: Eukaryota; Metazoa; Chordata; Mammalia; Rodentia; Spalacidae
Source: Ensembl
UGUUGUGGUAGCUUCUUUCUGGUGCAUUUGUUAAGUUUUCAAAUGAGCCUGAUUCUGCCACAUACAUUAUGUAGGAGCUGGCAGAGGCUUAAAGACGAAGUGGUUUCUCUUGAGCUUGUCCUCAGAUUGGCUCCCAUAUGU